GUUAUAUGGUCAAGUGAAGAAGCGCAUACGGUGGCAUGCCUUGGCAGUCAGAGGCGAUGAAAGACGUGGUAGCCUGCGAUAAGCUUCGGGGAGUCGGCAAACAGACUUUGAUCCGGAGAUCUCUGAAUGGGGAAACCCACCUGGGAUAACCUAGGUAUCUUGUACUGAAUCCAUAGGUGCAAGAGGCGAACCAGGGGAACUGAAACAUCUAAGUACCCUGAGGAAAAGAAAUCAACCGAGAUUCCCUUAGUAGUGGCGAGCGAACGGGGACUAGCCCUUAAGCUUCUUUGAAUCUAACAGAACGCUCUGGAAAGUG
Molecule: ribosomal RNA, 316 nt
Filed under: Pseudomonas sp. ATCC 13867
Lineage: Bacteria; Pseudomonadati; Pseudomonadota; Gammaproteobacteria; Pseudomonadales; Pseudomonadaceae
Description: bacterial LSU rRNA
Rfam family: Bacterial large subunit ribosomal RNA
Source: RNAcentral